This 267-nucleotide ribosomal RNA is filed under the name uncultured bacterium. Its description in RNAcentral is "partial 16S ribosomal RNA". It matches the Rfam family "Bacterial small subunit ribosomal RNA", at positions 88 to 354 of the family's 1533-position model. The record is from RNAcentral.
UAACUUAGUGGCGGACGGGUGGAGUAACGCGUGGGGAACCUGCCUUGCACCGGGGGAUAACACUUAGAAAUAGGUGCUAAUACCGCAUAAGCGCACAGAGCCGCAUGGCUCGGUGUGAAAAACUCCGGUGGUGCAAGAUGGACCCGCGUCUGAUUAGCUGGUUGGCGGGGUAACGGCCCACCAAGGCGACGAUCAGUAGCCGGCCUGAGAGGGUGAACGGCCACAUUGGGACUGAGACACGGCCCAAACUCCUACGGAAGGCAGCAG